AUUGAACGCUGGCGGCAUGCCUUACACAUGCAAGUCGAACGGCAGCACGGGAGCAAUCCUGGUGGCGAGUGGCGAACGGGUGAGUAAUAUAUCGGAACGUGCCCAGUCGUGGGGAUAACGUAGCGAAAGCUACGCUAAUACCGCAUACGAUCUAUGGAUGAAAGCGGGGGAUCGCAAGACCUCGCGCGAUUGGAGCGGCCGAUAUCAGAUUAGGUAGUUGGUGAGGUAAAGGCUCACCAAGCCGACGAUCUGUAGCUGGUCUGAGAGGACGACCAGCCACACUGGGACUGAGACACGGCCCAGACUCCUACGGGAGGCAGCAGUGGGAAUUUUGGACAAUGGCGCAAGCCUGAUCCAGCAAUGCCGCGUG
RNAcentral lists this ribosomal RNA (370 nucleotides) under uncultured bacterium. RNAcentral describes it as "bacterial SSU rRNA". It matches the Rfam family "Bacterial small subunit ribosomal RNA", at positions 30 to 403 of the family's 1533-position model. The record is from RNAcentral.